CAGAGAAACUAACAGGAUAGCUAGCUCUUCGGUAAGAUAAAGGCACCCCCAGCAAAUACAGUUACUGCUCACAUCAAGCCAACUGGCUGCGGGAACCCCUCCCUGAGCAGCCCAGAAUACUAGGCUUGCCUAUAUUCCUGUAAUUGAGUCCUGGGAAGCUGAUAAGUCUGCAAACACAUAUUCUCAGUGAUAAGCUCAGUCCACGUGUAAACCCAGAUUUGGGAGAGGAAUAGGGUAGGGCCGGUCGCACGCUUGACACUUCCUUUGGCUCCUUCCUCUGGUUCUCUGGCCAUGCCCCCAUCUAGUCCCUCUCCAUCUCACCCCAACUCCAGGAGUUGAUGGAAUCUGGGUCCCUAAUUAUUGCCCCAAGAGGCCCUCCGCGGUGGGGACUGUCCCCCUCGCAGCCAUCACUAAGACCCGGAGGCGUGGAAUUUCAAUUUGAAACUCCCGUGGCGCGUGAGGGCCGGCGCUGGGCAUGCUCAGUAGCUGCGGCGCGUCUGGGCUGCCGCUAGCUCUGCACUGGCUGCCGCGCUGCCUGCUCUGGGCUGGCGCGGGAGUCCACACGACUGUCACCGCUGCGGCUGCGGGGCUUCCAGCAGGCCAAACGUUCGGCGCCUCUGAGCGACUCGCCCCCGGCCCGCUCUGGUCCCCCUCAGCUGCCGCCUCCUACUCUUCUUCCUCUCCCCAUCUCUUCGGGAGGUGAAGCUGGUGCUUGUUUCUGUCGGCGCCACAGACCGCUCUGCAAACCUCAGACGAGGACCCUGAGAAGAAAUCCUGGAGACCAUAGGACCCUUGGCGGUGGCUCUUGAUCAUAGCACUUUGCCCGUAGUGGGGUCCGUGGCGGAGUUUCUCCUCCACCUCUCAAUGCAAACACUAUGCGGAGAGCAGUUGGCUUCCCUGCGCUGUGCCUGCUUCUUAAUCUUCACGCUGCAGGGUGCUUUUCAGGAAACAAUGAUCGCUUUUGGGCAAUUCAUCAGAAGAAGAGUGGGAAGCCGGUAUUCAUUUAUCACCGUUCACAAGAUAUUGAGAAGAGCCUGGAUAUAACUCCACAAAAGAUAUAUAAACAUAGCUAUCCUUCCUCUUCUGAGACUCAGAUAGGUAAACGCCACCACAUUGUUAAUUCAGCCUUUCCUAGACCUGCGUAUGACCCAUCUCUCAAUCUGUUGGCUGUGGCUGGUCAAGAUCUUGAAGUGGAAAAUCUACCAAUUCCAGCAGCAAAUGUAAUUGUGGUGGUGGCUCCACAUGGGCAGCGAUAUGCACUGCAGUAGGAUGCAAGUAAUGAAUGUAGCUCCUCAGUUUCUCUGCAUUUCUCCUGAAGACCUGUCUGCAUUGAUUGGUCAACUCAGGCCUGUGGGAGUAAGAAACUACCAGACCUAAGGAGGUUAUAACCAUCAUCAGUUCAAUGCCUUUUAUACCACUUGGCCAGGGGAGACCACAUCAGCUGUUCACAGACUGUUACGGUAUAAAGAACUUUCUGCUUUAGCACAACUAUAGUCCACAUUCUGCUUGUGGCCAGCCCCCAUCCUCAUACAAUGUCUUAUCACAGAUUGUUUUCCUAAUGUUAGAGCUCUUUUUGUAUAUCCUUUAGAAAUUGUAGCCUAGUGGUUAAGAACAUAUGUUCUGGAGUCAAACUGCCAUGGUUUAAAUCUUUACUGCUUAAAAGCUAUGUGAUCUUGAACCUCAAUUUCCUCAUCUAUGCAAUGGGAACAAUAUGGUAUAUACCCUAUUUAAUCGUGAAGAUUAAAUAAGACAACUCAUGU
Molecule: long non-coding RNA, 1760 nt
Organism: Ictidomys tridecemlineatus (thirteen-lined ground squirrel)
Lineage: Eukaryota; Metazoa; Chordata; Mammalia; Rodentia; Sciuridae
Source: Ensembl